Molecule: unclassified non-coding RNA, 329 nt
Filed under: soil metagenome
Description: partial contains 5.8S ribosomal RNA, internal transcribed spacer 2, and large subunit ribosomal RNA
Rfam family: 5.8S ribosomal RNA (bases 1-120)
Source: RNAcentral
GAUGAAGAACGUAGCGAAAUGCGAUAAGUAAUGUGAAUUGCAGAAUUCAGUGAAUCAUCGAAUCUUUGAACGCACAUUGCGCCCUCUGGUAUUCCGGGGGGCAUGCCUGUUCGAGCGUCAUUAUAACCACUCAAGCUCUCGCUUGGUAUUGGGGUUCGCGGCUCCGCGGCCCCUAAAAUCAGUGGCGGUGCCUGUCGGCUCUACGCGUAGUAAUACUCCUCGCGUCUGGGUCCGGUAGGUCUACUUGCCAGCAACCCCCAAUUUUUACAGGUUGACCUCGGAUCAGGUAGGGAUACCCGCUGAACUUAAGCAUAUCAAUAAGCGGAGGA